Molecule: ribosomal RNA, 252 nt
Filed under: uncultured bacterium
Lineage: Bacteria
Description: partial 16S ribosomal RNA
Rfam family: Bacterial small subunit ribosomal RNA
Source: RNAcentral
UACGGAGGUGCAAGCGUUGUCCGGAUUUAUUGGGUUUAAAGGGUGCGUAGGUGGUAUUGUAAGUCUGGUUUGAAAGCUGGUCGCUUAACGAUCAGAUGUGGCUGGAAACUGCGGUACUUGAAUGGAUUGGCGGUAGCCGGAAUGGGUCAUGUAGCGGUGAAAUGCAUAGAUAUGACCCGGAACACCGAUUGCGAAGGCAGGCUACUACGAUUUGAUUGACACUGAGGCACGAGAGCAUGGGUAGCGAACAGG